CUUGUAGGACAUCUGCAGGUAUUUAUUUGAAUUUUGUUGAAUUGUUCUCAUCAAUAUGAGAAGAGAGCAGGCUGAAUGGAAGAAAGUCAUUAUGACCACUGGGGCCACUAGGGGGUGUCCAGAGAAGGUAACUACUUUGCCCACGUCCUAAACUGCCUAGCCCUGUGGUCUUGGGCUAAUCACUAACCUGCUUAGAUACAAUUUUCUUCUCUAUGAAAUAGAAACAAUAUUAU
Long non-coding RNA from Orcinus orca (killer whale), 233 nucleotides. RefSeq lists it as uncharacterized. The record is from RefSeq and is a predicted model, not a curated record. NCBI's taxonomy places the organism in Eukaryota, Metazoa, Chordata, Mammalia, Artiodactyla, Delphinidae. The transcript has 4 exons.